Long non-coding RNA from Dermacentor silvarum, 514 nucleotides. RefSeq lists it as uncharacterized. NCBI's taxonomy places the organism in Eukaryota, Metazoa, Arthropoda, Arachnida, Ixodida, Ixodidae. The transcript has 4 exons. The record is from RefSeq and is a predicted model, not a curated record.
AAAACAGCUUCGCAUACGUGGUUGGUGACGCCAUUAGAGUGAGGUCACUGCUUUUAGGGUGGUUGGUUGCGCUUGGUUGCUGACGUUAUCGGUUCCAGUUUUGGGAACUUGGUGCAUCGGAUCGACGAAGGCGCACCGAAAGGCAACUUAUACGCCGACGUGUUGGACGUUUAUUCACAGGCACACGUGAAUAAUUGAAGCGCCGGAGCCAUAAUCAUGCUUUGUCCUUACCUUGUCGGCACAUUCCUUUGGGGAUGGUUUUGCGCAAGUCACUGUAAGCUGCCGGAACCAAACAAAGGUAUUGUCAAAGACGGAAAGACGUACAAUUCCUCUGUUCCGUGUUUACAAUACGUAUGCCACAAAGGUGUCCUCACGACAAAUGAGUGCCUCGGAGCGAAAGUCGGUGAUUGCAAACUACCGAAUUCUACCAAAAGGCUCCCUUAUCCAGCUUGCUGCGGUCAAAUGAUUUGUACAUGACAAUCAAUUUCAGAGUAAAUCAAUUUCGAGAGUUGUC